This 464-nucleotide ribosomal RNA is filed under the name Vreelandella stevensii. Its description in RNAcentral is "partial 16S ribosomal RNA". It matches the Rfam family "Bacterial small subunit ribosomal RNA", at positions 338 to 795 of the family's 1533-position model. Lineage: Bacteria; Pseudomonadati; Pseudomonadota; Gammaproteobacteria; Oceanospirillales; Halomonadaceae. The record is from RNAcentral.
CCUACGGGUGGCAGCAGUGGGGAAUAUUGGACAAUGGGCGAAAGCCUGAUCCAGCCAUGCCGCGUGUGUGAAGAAGGCCUUCGGGUUGUAAAGCACUUUCAGUGGGGAAGAAAGCCUUGGGGCUAAUACCCUCGAGGAAGGACAUCACCCACAGAAGAAGCACCGGCUAACUCCGUGCCAGCAGCCGCGGUAAUACGGAGGGUGCGAGCGUUAAUCGGAAUUACUGGGCGUAAAGCGCGCGUAGGCGGUCUGAUAAGCCGGUUGUGAAAGCCCCGGGCUCAACCUGGGAACGGCAUCCGGAACUGUCAGGCUAGAGUGCAGGAGAGGAAGGUAGAAUUCCCGGUGUAGCGGUGAAAUGCGUAGAGAUCGGGAGGAAUACCAGUGGCGAAGGCGGCCUUCUGGACUGACACUGACGCUGAGGUGCGAAAGCGUGGGUAGCAAACAGGAUUAGAUCCCCUGUAGUC